RNAcentral lists this ribosomal RNA (139 nucleotides) under uncultured eukaryote. RNAcentral's name for it is "partial 18S ribosomal RNA". It matches the Rfam family "Eukaryotic small subunit ribosomal RNA", at positions 1299 to 1458 of the family's 1831-position model. The record is from RNAcentral.
UGGUGGAGUGAUUUGUCUGGUUAAUUCCGUUAACGAACGAGACCUCGACCUGCUAAAUAGUUCGGGGAAUGCUUGCAUUCCUACUAACUUCUUAGAGGGACUAUCGGUGUGCAUCCGAUGGAAGUUCGAGGCAAUAACA